GGACGCCCCGGGUUCUCUUGCGAAUCUUUGUGUGUGCACCGGUCUUAAAGAAGUGACUCAGUGGCAAGUGUAGUUCUCCGUCCCUUUCAGACCAGAUGGGUCACCGGCUGUUGAAAAAGAAUCAAAACCUCUGAAAAGGAAAUACAUGUACGUGGUUGAAAACUCAAAAGGCACCAAAAGUGAUACAGUGACAAGUUGUGUGUUUUCUCUUUCCUGGAAGAUUGAGAGCUUUCUGAGGGCGGGGCUCAAUUCCUGCCCCAGGAUCUGCCCCGGCACCUGGGGCAGCACCCGUUCAAGGGCAGAUGGCCCAGUGCUGCCUAGGAACAGGCUGACAAGCUGGGCAGCCUGGCAGUCCUCCCCCGGUCUCAGGCUCCCUGAGCCGAGGGGAGGAAGGAGGCUGCUGUCUUUAAAGACGACGUGAUGGACAGUUAUUGAAGGCGCUCAGCUGGGGCUCUACUCUAGUCUUAAUCUGAGCCGCCCUCAAGGAAAUCAUAACCAGCUCUUAAAAACAUGUUAAGACCAAAGCUGGUGUGUGUGUUUGAGCAGAGCUUCAGACAGCUACUUAACACUGGGGGCCUCCAGGCCUUUGAUUCCUCUACCCCUCGCUUUGCCCUCUCCCCCCAUCUGGCUGGUGUUUAUCGGCCAAGACGUUGUUUAAAUCACACUCGCUUCCUAUAAACAUUUCACUUGAAAUGCCAUCCGCUGCUCCAGAAAUUCAUCUAUCACCAGCUCGGGGGUGUACUUGAGAAGCCUCGGGGCGAUGACUCCCCAUUCUCUCUCUCCUGUCCCCCCAUCAUCCCUCCUCCCCUGACCCAUAUGCUCAGGUUUCACACUGUAAGAACAACUUCCCCUCCGUGUAACAGGGCACUUAGUGCCAGGAUUAUUUAUAACAGCUGAGGUGGCAACAGGCUGUGGGGAGCCGCCCGGCCCGUGGAUGCCUCCGCUUGCAAAGCUCAAUAAAUGGACCUGGCACACUGUUUA
Long non-coding RNA from Acinonyx jubatus (cheetah), 981 nucleotides. RefSeq lists it as uncharacterized. The transcript is spliced from 3 exons. NCBI's taxonomy places the organism in Eukaryota, Metazoa, Chordata, Mammalia, Carnivora, Felidae. The record is from RefSeq and is a predicted model, not a curated record.